GAGUUUGAUCUUGGCUCAGAACGAACGCUGGCGGCAUGCCUAACACAUGCAAGUCGAACGGGAUCCAUCCUUCGGGAUGGUGAGAGUGGCGGACGGGUGAGUAACGCGUGGGAACCUGCCCAGUGGUGGGGGAUAACUGCGGGAAACUGCAGCUAAUACCGCAUGAGCCCGAGAGGGGAAAGAUUUAUCGCCAUUGGAGGGGCCCGCGUUCGAUUAGGUAGUUGGUGGGGUAAUGGCCUACCAAGCCGACGAUCGAUAGCUGGUCUGAGAGGAUGAUCAGCCACACUGGGACUGAGAUACGGCCCAGACUCCUACGGGAGGCAGCAGUGGGGAAUAUUGGACAAUGGGGGCAACCCUGAUCCAGCAAUGCCGCGUGAGUGAUGAAGGCCUUAGGGUUGUAAAGCUCUUUUGCCAGGGACGAUGAUGACGGUACCUGGAGAAUAAGCCCCGGCUAACUUCGUGCCAGCCGCCGCAGUAAC
Molecule: ribosomal RNA, 479 nt
Filed under: uncultured Alphaproteobacteria bacterium
Lineage: Bacteria; Pseudomonadati; Pseudomonadota; Alphaproteobacteria
Description: bacterial SSU rRNA
Rfam family: Bacterial small subunit ribosomal RNA
Source: RNAcentral